UACGUAGGCAGCGAGCGUUGUUCGGAGUUACUGGGCGUAAAGGGUGUGUAGGCGGUUGUUUAAGUUUGGUGUGAAAUCUCCCGGCUCAACUGGGAGGGUGCGCCGAAUACUGAAUGACUUCGAGUGCGGGAGAGGAAAGUGGAAUUCCUGGUGUAGCGGUGAAAUGCGUAGAUAUCGGGAGGAACACCAGUGGCGAAGGCGGUUGCCUGGAGCUUUGCUGACGCUGAGGCGCGAAAGCGUGGGGAGCGAUCCGG
RNAcentral lists this ribosomal RNA (254 nucleotides) under uncultured bacterium. RNAcentral describes it as "partial 16S ribosomal RNA". It matches the Rfam family "Bacterial small subunit ribosomal RNA", at positions 524 to 776 of the family's 1533-position model. The record is from RNAcentral.